GAUGAACGCUGGCGGCGUGCCUAAUACAUGCAAGUCGAGCGAACGGACGAGAAGCUUGCUUCUCUGAUGUUAGCGGCGGACGGGUGAGUAACACGUGGAUAACCUACCUAUAAGACUGGGAUAACUUCGGGAAACCGGAGCUAAUACCGGAUAAUAUUUUGAACCGCAUGGUUCAAAAGUGAAAGACGGUCUUGCUGUCACUUAUAGAUGGAUCCGCGCUGCAUUAGCUAGUUGGUAAGGUAACGGCUUACCAAGGCAACGAUGCAUAGCCGACAUGAGAGGGUGAUCGCCAACAUUGGAACGGAGACACGGUCAAGACGCCUAAGGGAGGCAGCAGUAGGGAAUCUUCCGCAAUGGGAGAAAGCCUGACGGAGCAACGCCGCGUGAGUGAUGAAGGUCUUCGGAUCGUAAAACUCUGUUAUUAGGGAAGAACAGAUGUGUAAGUAACUGUGCACAUCUUGACGGUACCUAAUCAGAAAGCCACGGCUAACUACGUG
Molecule: ribosomal RNA, 497 nt
Filed under: uncultured bacterium
Lineage: Bacteria
Description: partial 16S ribosomal RNA
Rfam family: Bacterial small subunit ribosomal RNA
Source: RNAcentral